UUCGCCAGGGGACUACGAGCGUAAGCUUAAAACCCAAAGGACUUGGCGGUGCCCUACACCUCCUAGAGGAGCCUGUUCUAUAAUCGAUGAUCCACGUUAUACCUCACCGUUUCUUGCCAAACCCGCCUAUAUACCGCCGUCUCCAACUUACCCUAUGAAGGAUUCACAGUAGGUUUAAAGAUCACUCAUCAGAACGUCAGGUCAAGGUGUAGCGAAUGAAACGGGAAGCAAUGGGCUACAUUUUCUAUCUUAGAUCACACGGAUAAUCAAUAUGAAACCUGAUUAUGAAGGAGGAUUUAGCAGUAAAAAGAAACCAACAUGUUCUUUUUAAGUCGGACCUAGGGCGCGUACACACCGCCCGUCACCCUCUUCAACUCAUUUCACUAUAUUUCAUAAUAAAAUUACUAGAGAUAAGAAGAGGCAAGUCGUAACAUGGUAAGUAUACCGGAAGGUGUACUUGGAAC
Molecule: ribosomal RNA, 464 nt
Filed under: Oreolalax omeimontis (Omei lazy toad)
Lineage: Eukaryota; Metazoa; Chordata; Amphibia; Anura; Megophryidae
Description: partial 12S ribosomal RNA
Rfam family: Bacterial small subunit ribosomal RNA
Source: RNAcentral